AAGGCCAGGUUGGAUGGGGCCCUGGGCAGCCUGGGCUGCUGUGAAAUGGGGAGGUUGGUGGCUCUGCCUGAGGCAGGGGGUUGGAGCUCCGUGAUCCUUGAGGCCCUUCCAACCCGGCCAUUCUGUGAUUACAAUCCCUACACACAAUUGGAUGAAGAGUUUUUAAAUCAGUAUUUUUCAGAUGUCUGUCCAGUCUGCUUUUAAAAAUGGCAGUGCUGAAGUUCCGAAGCGAUUGUUCCUCUCACUGAUUGAAGGCUUCCCUGCAGGUCGAUGGGGUCACAAUGAGCUUUUUAUUCAUGCUACUUGCUGCAUGGAGCAGGAGGCUUUAAACCCAAAGAGAAAAAAGGGACAGUAUUUGGCCUAUCUUUGUGUUUCUGUCUCUUAUAUGAAGUAUGGAUGUUAAAGGAAGUGCAGUGGGUGUCCUGUGGCAUCUUCAAACAUGAAUUAUUCCACGUCCAGCUGGGCGGCAUCCAUCAGAGCACAGCCCUCAGCCCAGGCUGGUUGUGAUGGUGUGUUGGCAUUCAUAAGGCCAGGAAUCAGUGAAACCUAUUUGUGAGCCACUGCGACAGAUGUUAAGUCUUUUUAAGGAGAGAGCAAAUCUAGAGUUGUGAGGAAUGAAAAAUGCAGCCCUUUCAAACUAAGUUUGCUUUAAUAUUUUUUGGAUUUUGUGGUGCAUUAAAACAGAGCUUCUAGAAGAAACAACACAGGUAUUCCCACCAGAAAAGCCACCCCACUGCUGCCAGACAUUUUUGAUGCUGUUGAGGAUGGUAGAAAUACUUUCAUAUUUUCACUGCAACAAUAACAGAAUCACAGAAUCACAGAACGGCCAGGGUUGGAAGGGACCUCAAGGAUCACGAAGCUCCAACCCCCCUGUGCCAUGCAGGGCCACCAACCUCCCCAUUUCACAGCAGCCCAGGCUGCCCAGGGCCCCAUCCAACCUGGCCUUGAACACCUCCAGGGAUGGACGGGGCAUCACAGCCUCUCUGGGCAGCUGUUCCAGCACCUCACCACUCUCACAGCACACAACUUCCCCUGACAUCCAACCUCCAUCUGCCCUCCCUCAACUCCAAACCAUUUCCCCUUGUCCUGCUGCCAUCUCCCCUUUCCAAGAGCUGACUCCCCUCCUGUCUGCAGGCUCCCUUUAGGCACUGCAGGCUGCACUGAGGUCGCCCCGCAGCUUCUCUUCUCCAUGCUGAACAAGCCCAGCUCCCUCAGCCUGUCUUUGUAGUGGAGGUGCUGCAGCCCCCUGCUCAUCUCUGUGGCUCCUCUGGACCCUCAAUAAAUCAAUGGAAAUUCAAUAUUUGGCAGAAGACUCAUGAAAACAUUUUCUAUUAAAAUUGUUGAACUGCUGCAA
Molecule: long non-coding RNA, 1354 nt
Organism: Tympanuchus pallidicinctus (lesser prairie-chicken)
Lineage: Eukaryota; Metazoa; Chordata; Aves; Galliformes; Phasianidae
Exons: 2
Source: RefSeq, a predicted model, not a curated record